Long non-coding RNA from Choloepus didactylus (southern two-toed sloth), 1173 nucleotides. RefSeq lists it as uncharacterized. The transcript has 4 exons. Lineage: Eukaryota; Metazoa; Chordata; Mammalia; Pilosa; Megalonychidae. The record is from RefSeq and is a predicted model, not a curated record.
GAGCCUUUACGCGUGACUCUUCAGAAGGGGCUCUGGCAGGUACAGAGCCCUUUUCGGUUUGGGGGUACAUCUGGCAGCCAGAGGCGCCUCUUCAUUUUACGCUUGAGGAGAUGGGAAGCCCAGGGGAAAGGUCCAAGGUCACACGGUGAGUGUGAACAGGCAGCUCGGAGCAGUUCUGACUUGGCACCAGGGACCAGGGCUGACCGUGCGGGAACACGCAGCCUCCAUCAUCGCCAGGGCGCAACUCUGCUCACUGUUGGUCCAACUCUCAGAAAUUUUAUGUAUUUCAUCUCUCAUUUAGGCUCGUGUGUGGGGACAUGGCCACUGGACACGAGGAAAUCAGAGAAAAGAGAUGUCCCUCCCUGAGUUAUGGGUGAGAGAGCAGCAUGGAGCGGCUGUGAAUUCAUGCUGUGCAACUUCAGGCCUCACCACAGCCUCUCUGAGCCCCGGGUACAAGGAAGUGGUGAGCUGGUACUGGCAUCGAAGUGUGUGCUCUGGCGCUCCUAAACCCCUCGUUUUUCAGCUCUGGAUCAAAGACGACAGAGAACAAGAGGGCCCCAGGGCAAAAACGGCAAGACCCUGCUCCCAGCUUGGAAGUCUCGAACAACAAUAGCUAACAUUUAACCAUCCUAAUAAAGCUAUGGGAACAAUAUUCCAUUGUUUGGAUGUGCCAGUUGAUGUGUCCACUCACCUAUGGAAGGACAUCUUGGAUGCUUCCAGUGUUGGGCAAUUAUGAAUAAAGCUGCCGUAAACACUCACGUGCAGGUUUCUGUGUGGACAUAAGUUUUCAUCUCCUUUGGCCACACUGGCCUCUCUGGACUCCCAGCUCUGCCUCCUGAACCCAGGAAGACCCCGAGCUCUGCCUGGGUGCCCGUCCCUGCACCUUGGCCUGUGAACUCUUUCCAGCAGUGAGCUGGGGUGACUGUGGGCUCAUCUGGUUUGUUUUCUGUCUCUCAGGGGUCACUGCCCAUCAUUGCUUGAUGUCCAGUGUCUCAAAAAUUGCUUUUAACAUAUUUCAUCAGUUUUUUAAAAAUUGUUUCCAAUGGGGAGGUAAAUCCAGACACUAUUACUCCACCUUGGCCAGAAAUGGAGGUGUCUCAUAGUGCUUUUUACUAUCUAAAAUUUUCUUACAUCUUUUUUGGUUACAUGUUUAUUAUCUGUCUCCUCCAUCUG